Molecule: long non-coding RNA, 90 nt
Organism: Sinocyclocheilus anshuiensis
Lineage: Eukaryota; Metazoa; Chordata; Actinopteri; Cypriniformes; Cyprinidae
Exons: 3
Source: RefSeq, a predicted model, not a curated record
GCAGCCCGCUCACUUAUGUUACACAGCUAAGACCAUGUGAUGCCCACACUCCCAUGAGUCUCUUCAAAAUGUUGUUCAAGUUUCCUGCCA